This 497-nucleotide ribosomal RNA is filed under the name uncultured bacterium. RNAcentral describes it as "partial 16S ribosomal RNA". It matches the Rfam family "Bacterial small subunit ribosomal RNA", at positions 28 to 507 of the family's 1533-position model. The record is from RNAcentral.
GAUAAACGCUGGCGGCGUGCCUAAUACAUGCAAGUCGAGCGAACAGACGAGGAGCUUGCUCCUUUGACGUUAGCGGCGGACGGGUGAGUAACACGUGGAUAACCUACCUAUAAGACUGGGAUAACUUCGGGAAACCGGAGCUAAUACCGGAUAACAUGUUGAACCGCAUGGUUCAACAGUGAAAGACGGUCUUGCUGUCACUUAUAGAUGGAUCCGCGCCGCAUUAGCUAGUUGGUAAGGUAACGGCUUACCAAGGCAACGAUGCGUAGCCGACCUGAGAGGGUGAUCGGCCACACUGGAACUGAGACACGGUCCAGACUCCUACGGGAGGCAGCAGUAGGGAAUCUUCCGCAAUGGGCGAAAGCCUGACGGAGCAACGCCGCGUGAGUGAAGAAGGUCUUCGGAUCGUAAAACUCUGUUAUUAGGGAAGAACAAAUGUGUAAGUAACUAUGCACGUCUUGACGGUACCUAAUCAGAAAGCCACGGCUAACUACGUG